AUUUAAAUAGUUUAAUUAAAAAAUUUUGGUUUGUGGAACCAAGGAUAUACAAUUGUAUUUUAGAUA
This 66-nucleotide transfer RNA is filed under the name Alphitobius diaperinus (lesser mealworm). Its description in RNAcentral is "tRNA-His". The record is from RNAcentral. Lineage: Eukaryota; Metazoa; Arthropoda; Insecta; Coleoptera; Tenebrionidae.